RNAcentral lists this ribosomal RNA (450 nucleotides) under uncultured bacterium. RNAcentral describes it as "partial 16S ribosomal RNA". It matches the Rfam family "Bacterial small subunit ribosomal RNA", at positions 354 to 796 of the family's 1533-position model. The record is from RNAcentral.
GUGGGGAAUUUUGGACAAUGGGCGCAAGCCUGAUCCAGCAAUGCCGCGUGCAGGAAGAAGGCCUUCGGGUUGUAAACUGCUUUUGUACGGAACGAAACGGUCCUGGUUAAUACCUGGGGCUAAUGACGGUACCGUAAGAAUAAGCACCGGCUAACUACGUGCCAGCAGCCGCGGUAAUACGUAGGGUGCGAGCGUUAAUCGGAAUUACUGGGCGUAAAGCGUGCGCAGGCGGUGCUGUAAGACAGGCGUGAAAUCCCCGGGCUCAACCUGGGAAUUGCGCUUGUGACUGCAGUGCUGGAGUGCGGCAGAGGGGGAUGGAAUUCCGCGUGUAGCAGUGAAAUGCGUAGAUAUGCGGAGGAACACCGAUGGCGAAGGCAAUCCCCUGGGCCUGCACUGACGCUCAUGCACGAAAGCGUGGGGAGCAAACAGGAUUAGAAACCCCUGUAGUCC